ACAUAUUGACGUAAUAUCAUCCGAUCUUUAGAGCUUCUAUGAUUGGAUGCGGUAAAGGUCGGGUGAGCGUUCGUAAUU
Apis mellifera (honey bee) is the source of this 78-nucleotide non-coding RNA. The record is from RefSeq and is marked provisional. NCBI's taxonomy places the organism in Eukaryota, Metazoa, Arthropoda, Insecta, Hymenoptera, Apidae.